Molecule: ribosomal RNA, 40 nt
Filed under: Saccharomyces cerevisiae (brewer's yeast)
Lineage: Eukaryota; Fungi; Ascomycota; Saccharomycetes; Saccharomycetales; Saccharomycetaceae
Description: partial 28S ribosomal RNA
Source: RNAcentral
UGACCUCAAUCAGUGAGACAGGAGUACCCCUGAACUUAAC